Non-coding RNA from Equus caballus (horse), 109 nucleotides. The record is from Rfam. Lineage: Eukaryota; Metazoa; Chordata; Mammalia; Perissodactyla; Equidae.
GUCUAUGGCCGUACCACCCUGAACGUGCCCGAUCUCAUCUGAUCUCAGAAGGUAAGCAGGGUCGGGCCUGGUUAGCACUUGGAUGGGAGAAACUCAAGCAUUUUAAAUA